GCCUUGAUGGCGCAGUAGGCAGCGCGUGAGUCUCAUAAUCUCAAGGUCGUGAGUUCGAUCCUCACUCGGGGCA
Molecule: non-coding RNA, 73 nt
Organism: Ciona savignyi (Pacific transparent sea squirt)
Lineage: Eukaryota; Metazoa; Chordata; Ascidiacea; Phlebobranchia; Cionidae
Source: Rfam